CGCAUCUGUGCAUGCAGCAUAUCAAUAAGCGGAGGAAAAGAAACUAACAAGGAUUCCCCUAGUAACGGCGAGUGAAGCGGGAAGAGCUCAAAUUUGAAAUCUUAAAGGGUUUCCCUUUACGAAUUGUAGUUUAAAGAAGUGUUUUCUGUUGAGGUUUUGGUAAAAGUUCUUUGGAAUAGGACAUCAUAGAGGGUGAGAAUCCCGUAUUUCGACCUUUACUUUCAACUUUGUGAUACACUUUCAAAGAGUCGGAUUGUUUGGGAAUGCAGUCCAAAAUGGGUGGUAAAUUUCAUCUAAAGCUAAAUAUUGGCGAGAGACCGAUAGCGAACAAGUACCGUGAGGGAAAGAUGAAAAGAACUUUGAAAAGAGAGUUAAACAGUACGUGAAAGUUGUCAAAAGGGAAGCGUUUGACACCAGUGUUGUUUUUCUGAAAAUCUAAUUAAAGAACUGUUUAUGCUAAGCUUGUUUAGACUUUAUCAGCUAACUGUUUAGUUUUGAGCUUUUCUUUAAUGCACUUUUCAGUUAACAAGUCAACAUCAAUUUCUUUUGCUGUAAAAAAGCUUGAGGAAGGUGGCUUGAGAUUCGUCUUAAGUGUUUAUAGGCCUCUUGCCUAUGCAGUCGGAGAGAUUGAGGUCUGCAGCGUAGAUCCUUCGGGGCUAAAUGCAUUUGUGCUAAGUUAUAGCAUUUUAUAGACAACUUGUUGACUAUGAUUUGUCUUGUAGCUUACUCGCUUAUGUUAUUUUACCUACGCUUAGGAUGUUGAGUCGUAGAGCACGCAG
Molecule: ribosomal RNA, 779 nt
Filed under: uncultured Neocallimastigales
Lineage: Eukaryota; Fungi; Neocallimastigomycota; Neocallimastigomycetes; Neocallimastigales
Description: partial large subunit ribosomal RNA
Rfam family: Eukaryotic large subunit ribosomal RNA
Source: RNAcentral